GAACGAACGCUGGCGGCAUGCCUAACACAUGCAAGUCGAACGAGACCUUCGGGUCUAGUGGCGCACGGGUGCGUAACGCGUGGGAAUCUGCCCUUUGCUUCGGAAUUAACAGCUAGAAAUGACUGCUAAUACCGGAUGAUGUCUUCGGACCAAAGAUUUAUCGCCAAAGGAUUGGCCCGCGUUGGAUUAGGUAGUUGGUGGGGUAAUGGCCUACCAAGCCUACGAUCCAUAGCUGGUUUGAGAGGAUGAUCAGCAACACUGGGACUGAGACACGGCCCAGACUCCUACGGGAGGCAGCAGUGGGGAAUCUUAGACAAUGGGCGCAAGUCUGAUCUAGCCAUGCCGCGUGAGCGAUGAAGGCCUUAGGGUUGUAAAGCUCUUUCAGAUGGGAAGAUAAUGACGGUACCAUCAGAAGAAGCCCCGGCUAACUCCGUG
RNAcentral lists this ribosomal RNA (435 nucleotides) under uncultured bacterium. Its description in RNAcentral is "bacterial SSU rRNA". It matches the Rfam family "Bacterial small subunit ribosomal RNA", at positions 27 to 507 of the family's 1533-position model. The record is from RNAcentral.